RNAcentral lists this ribosomal RNA (906 nucleotides) under uncultured Campylobacterota bacterium. RNAcentral describes it as "bacterial SSU rRNA". It matches the Rfam family "Bacterial small subunit ribosomal RNA", at positions 495 to 1398 of the family's 1533-position model. Lineage: Bacteria; Pseudomonadati; Campylobacterota. The record is from RNAcentral.
GGCUAACUCUGUGCCAGCAGCCGCGGUAAUACGGAGGGUGCAAGCGUUACUCGGAAUCACUGGGCGUAAAGGACACGUAGGCGGGUUAGAAAGUCAGAUGUGAAAUCCUACAGCUUAACUGUAGAACUGCAUUUGAAACUUCUAACCUAGAGUAUGGGAGGGGGAGAUGGAAUUAGUGGUGUAGGGGUAAAAUCCGUAGAUAUCACUAGGAAUACCUAAAGCGAAGGCGAUCUCCUGGAACAUUACUGACGCUAAGGCGUGAAAGCGUGGGGAGCAAACGGGAUUAGAUACCCCGGUAGUCCACGCCCUAAACGAUGUUCACUAGUCGUCGGGAUGCUAGUCAUCUCGGUGAUGCACUUAACAGAUUAAGUGAACCGCCUGGGGAGUACGGUCGCAAGAUUAAAACUCAAAGGAAUAGACGGGGACCCGCACAAGUGGUGGAGCAUGUGGUUUAAUUCGAAGAUACGCGAAGAACCUUACCUAGCCUUGACAUUGAAGAAACACACUAGAGAUAGAGUGGUGCCCUUCGGGGAAUCUGAAAACAGGUGCUGCACGGCUGUCGUCAGCUCGUGUCGUGAGAUGUUGGGUUAAGUCCCGCAACGAGCGCAACCCUCGUCCUUAGUUGCCAGCAGGUUAAGCUGGGCACUUUAAGGAGACUGCCUUCGCAAGGAGGAGGAAGGUGAGGACGACGUCAAGUCAUCAUGGCCCUUAUGGCUAGGGCUACACACGUGCUACAAUGGGGCGUACAGAGAGUUGCGAUACCGCGAGGUGGAGCCAAUCUCAUAAAGCGUCUCUCAGUUCGGAUAGCAGUCUGCAACUCGACUGCUUGAAGCUGGAAUCACUAGUAAUCGUAGAUCAGCAAUGCUACGGUGAAUACGUUCCCGGGUCUUGCACACACCGCCCGUC